Aegilops tauschii subsp. strangulata is the source of this 1419-nucleotide non-coding RNA. The record is from RefSeq and is a predicted model, not a curated record. NCBI's taxonomy places the organism in Eukaryota, Viridiplantae, Streptophyta, Magnoliopsida, Poales, Poaceae.
CCCUUCUGGUCCCGCACAUCAGCGUCGUCCACUUUAAACCGCCCAGAACCCUAGACGUACGACGGUGCAGCGUCGUCCUCUCCCAGCCGCCUCCUCUUCUCCCUCGACCUCGCUCCUCUCGCGCCGCCCGCCUCCUCUUCUCCUUCCUUUCUGUGACUCUGGAUCGGGUGCGCAGUCGCCGCCGUUUAUGUCCGCACAGCCGACCAGCUUCGCGGUGCCCGGAGCACCUCCUGAGUUCGUCCUCCCUUCCUUGCAGCCCUGCUCUCAUUAGGGAAGGACGGAUCCAUUCACCCCCUCGCCCGGCAUCGCUCGGUGAACAAGACAGACGAAAUUGAUGUGCGUUUCCUCUCCUCUCGCCCAACGAAGGCGGAAGAUGCAAGCGGUGGCUCCUCACCUAGCCGUACGGUGAUGGAUUCAAUGGAGAAGAGGAAGCAUGUUCCCUCCAUUACCUGGAAGUGAGUAUGCAAGAUAACUUCAAGCAAAGUGUACAGAGGCUGCAGCUGAAGCUGGAUUUUGAAGGUUGCAAGUUGGUGGGUCAUCAGUUAUUAUUAGGUUCAAUCCCCUUUGCCAUGUAAUAUUGUGGCGACAUUGUCUCUUUUGUAUAAUUGUGCACGCAGGAUUCUAUUGGAACAAUCACUGAAAAUGAUGAGAGAGUUUGUCUCACAUGUGCUGCUCACUGAUGAGAAGUAGAUUGAAGUGAAUCGUGCUAGAGAAGAAGGAGCGGUCGGGAAAGUACACCAGUGAUGCCCUGCAAGUCGAGCAACAGGAAGCUAAGGAGAUGCUCAGUGUAAUCCCUGAGAAGCAAAGAGCGAACCAAAGAACAUGUCCGCUUCAAGGGUGCACCAGGAGUAGUCUGAUGAUAAGGCUGAAGCUAUUUCAGCAACUGUUGAAGGAAAGAAUGAUAAGGCUGACCAGUGUUAGAUGACCAAGACCAAAAACAAAAGAAUAACUUCUAAAAAAGGAGCUCUACUACUGGAAAGGGGGAAGGGAUAUUAAAGAAAUCAAGACAGUGACUACUCUGCGCCAGCUAUGCAGAGAUUAAUUACCUAUAGGUUACCUAUCCUAUAAUAUUAGCUUCUCCUCGAUUGACAUCUCAAGAGGAAAACGGUCAUUCAUGCAACUAGGCUCACCAUCAACAACGCUCCGCUACAAUGCUCUUUGACCAGCUUCAAGAGAGUCUCUUAAUGCGUCUGCUACUUGCAUGAACAAAGCCACGACCAGGAAUUAUGUAACCAGUGAACUGAAUGCUCCUUAUUAAGCAUGCUCUAAAACUAGAGUCUUUGGCUGCUCAGGUAGCUAUCUCAAAGCAAAGCAAAAACAAAAACUCCCGUAUAUUAUGAAGUGAACUCUAGCUUAUUGUGCAUGUGUUGCUUGACUAUGGUUCGUCUUUCUAUGCGUGAUAUGCUGCUCCAUAGCCUA